This 1161-nucleotide ribosomal RNA is filed under the name Kalymmatonema gypsitolerans HTT-U-KK4. Its description in RNAcentral is "bacterial SSU rRNA". It matches the Rfam family "Bacterial small subunit ribosomal RNA", at positions 356 to 1532 of the family's 1533-position model. The record is from RNAcentral. Lineage: Bacteria; Bacillati; Cyanobacteriota; Cyanophyceae; Nostocales; Scytonemataceae.
GGGGAAUUUUCCGCAAUGGGCGAAAGCCUGACGGAGCAAUACCGCGUGAGGGAGGAAGGCUCUUGGGUUGUAAACCUCUUUUCUCAGGGAAGAAUGAUGACGGUACCUGAGGAAUAAGCAUCGGCUAACUCCGUGCCAGCAGCCGCGGUAAUACGGAGGAUGCAAGCGUUAUCCGGAAUGAUUGGGCGUAAAGCGUCCGCAGGUGGCAAUGUAAGUCUGCUGUCAAAGCGUCUGGCUCAACCAGAUAAAGGCAGUGGAAACUACAUAGCUAGAGUAAGGUAGGGGUAGAGGGAAUUCCUGGUGUAGCGGUGAAAUGCGUAGAGAUCAGGAAGAACACCGGUGGCGAAAGCGCUCUGCUGGACCUUAACUGACACUGAGGGACGAAAGCUAGGGGAGCGAAUGGGAUUAGAUACCCCAGUAGUCCUAGCCGUAAACGAUGGAUACUAGGCGUUGCCCGUAUCGACCCGGGCAGUGUCGUAGCUAACGCGUUAAGUAUCCCGCCUGGGGAGUACGCAGGCAACUGUGAAACUCAAAGGAAUUGACGGGGGCCCGCACAAGCGGUGGAGUAUGUGGUUUAAUUCGAUGCAACGCGAAGAACCUUACCAGGGCUUGACAUGUCCGGAAUCCUGACGAAAGUUAGGAGUGCCUUCGGGAGCCGGAACACAGGUGGUGCAUGGCUGUUGUCAGCUCGUGUCGUGAGAUGUUGGGUUAAGUCCCGCAACGAGCGCAACCCUCGUUCUUAGUUGCCAUCAUUAAGUUGGGAACUCUAAGGAGACUGCCGGUGACAAACCGGAGGAAGGUGGGGAUGACGUCAAGUCAGCAUGCCCCUUACGCCCUGGGCUACACACGUACUACAAUGCUAUGGACAAAGGGCAGCAAGCCAGCAAUGGCAAGCAAAUCUCGUAAACCAUGGCUCAGUUCAGAUCGCAGGCUGCAACUUGCCUGCGUGAAGGUGGAAUCGCUAGUAAUUGCAGGUCAGCAUACCGCAGUGAGUUCGUUCCCGGGCCUUGUACACACCGCCCGUCACACCAUGGAAGCUGGUCACGCCCGAAGUCGUUACCCUAACCUUUCGAGGAGGGGGACGCCGAAGGUAGGACUGGUGACUGGGGUGAAGUCGUAACAAGGUAGCCGUACCGGAAGGUGUGGCUGGAUCACCUCCUU